This 504-nucleotide ribosomal RNA is filed under the name uncultured bacterium. RNAcentral's name for it is "bacterial SSU rRNA". It matches the Rfam family "Bacterial small subunit ribosomal RNA", at positions 8 to 526 of the family's 1533-position model. The record is from RNAcentral.
AGAGUUUGAUCAUGGCUCAGGACGAACGCUGGCGGCGUGCUUAACACAUGCAAGUCGAACGGUGAACCAGGGCUUGCCCUGGGGAUCAGUGGCGAACGGGUGAGUAACACGUGACCAACCUGCCCCUAACUCUGGGAUAACCCCGGGAAACCGGAGCUAAUACCGGAUACGAGACCGAGUGGCAUCACACGGUCUGGAAAGUUUUUCGGUUAGGGAUGGGGUCGCGGCCUAUCAGCUUGUUGGUGGGGUAAUGGCCUACCAAGGCGACGACGGGUAGCCGGCCUGAGAGGGCGACCGGCCACACUGGGACUGAGACACGGCCCAGACUCCUACGGGAGGCAGCAGUGGGGAAUAUUGCGCAAUGGGCGAAAGCCUGACGCAGCGACGCCGCGUGAGGGAUGACGGCCUUCGGGUUGUAAACCUCUUUCAGCAGGGAAGAAGCGAAAGUGACGGUACCUGCAGAAGAAGCACCGGCUAACUACGUGCCAGCCGCCGCGGUAAUAC